Molecule: long non-coding RNA, 1706 nt
Organism: Macaca fascicularis (crab-eating macaque)
Lineage: Eukaryota; Metazoa; Chordata; Mammalia; Primates; Cercopithecidae
Source: Ensembl
UUUUUUUUUUUUUUUUUGAGACAGAAUUUUGCUCUGUCACCAGGCUGGAGAGCAGUGGCACGAUCUUGGCUCACUGCAAUCUCCACCUCCCGGGUUCAAGCGAUUCUCCUGCCUCAGCCUCCUGAGUAGCUGGGAUUACAGGCACACACCACCACACACAGCUGAUUUUUGUAUUUUGAAUAGAGACAAGGUUUCACCAUGUUGGCCAGGAUGGUCUUGAUCUCUUGACCUCGUGAUCCACCCACCUUGGCCUCCCAAAGUACUGGAAUUACAGGUGUAAGCCACCACACCUGGCCUGGACCUACUUUCUUUAAAAGUAGUGAUAUACCACUGAGCUACAAUCCAUGGGCUGUAUUCUUGGUAAUGUUAGCCUGGGUGUAUGGCUGACCCUCACUUCCACUCCUGAUUAGGAAGCCUCGCCUAGCAGUUGGGUGACUCUGGAGCCCCGUGCUAGAGACAGCAGGCCUAUAUUCAAUUUCCACAGAGGGUAAUGAAGAGGGGAAACCAAACAGACUAUAAUUAGCUAUUGGUUUCUUUCUUAAGAUUUUAUCAAGAUUCCAUUUAAGAAACAGAGUCUUUUUAAACCUAAAUUAGUCCUCAGCGAAACCUAUGAAAAUCUGAAGGCACAGUAAGAAUACCUGGAGCCUAGUAAUUCUCAGCGGUUCCAUUCCAGGUUCUGUUAGGGUGUUUUCAACUACAAUGAAGAGCUCUUUCCAUUAAAUUGAACAGUAAAAGCUUCACACAGUGUUUCUUAAGCAUUCGCUUGCAUUGGAAUCAUCUUGAGUAUUUGUUAAAACACAGAUUGUGAAUCCCCAAACCCAGAGUUUUCAAUUCAGUAGCUCUGGGAUAGGAACUGAGAAUUAGCAUUUGUAACAAAGUUCCUAGGUGCUGCUCAUCAAGAUAAUGUAUCUCUCUACCAUUUUAGGUAACAUCCCUCACAAUUGUAAUUAAGUAAGAUGAUAAUUGGUCAUUUAAUAUUUGUCUUCUCCUUCAGAAUGUAAGUUUCUUGAGGGCAGGAAUUGAGUCCAUCUUGUUCACUACAAUAGCCCCAGUUCCUUCUAUGGUGUCUCAAAUAUUUAUUUGCUAAAUGAAUAAAUGCCGUAAUGUUUAUUACUUUGCUGUCUGCUUACAUCUCUCUUAAAAUCGUAUUUUUCUUAAUAAGAAUAGCAGUUAUAAUAAUAAGAACUAAUGAUCAUUAAGCACUUAAAACAUACUAGAAAUUAUGCAAGUUUUGACAGCCAUAGUCUCAUUUAGUAUCAUAACAAUCUUCUGAAGAUUUUGUAGUACUGUUUCCUAUUUUACAGUUGAAGAAACUGAGAUCCAGGGAAAUGAAGUAACUUGAGACAGGUCCCAUUACUGGUAGGUUACAGAUCCAAGAUUUAACCCAGGCAGUCUGACUCCAGGUUCUUAAGUACUGUAUUACUGUGCUUCCUGUAUACAUCCUAGUGAAAAUUACUAUAUGUUGUCCAUGAUCUGCCCCUGUUUACUUCUCAACUCUUUCCUUCACACUUACACCCAGUGGCCCAGCCAUACCAUGGUGUUGUACCAUGCGGUUUUUACUUUUAAUGUUUUUUCCCUCAUUUUUGGUCUAGAAAACGUCUAUUCCUCUUUUGAGACUCAAACAUCUUGUAACUGCCUAACAGUUUCUCCUUGCCCACUGCCUAGACAGAGUUGAUGUUCUCAAGACAGGGCAAUUGCAAUAGAGA